This 332-nucleotide unclassified non-coding RNA is filed under the name uncultured fungus. RNAcentral describes it as "partial contains 5.8S ribosomal RNA and internal transcribed spacer 2". The stretch from base 1 to 133 matches the Rfam family "5.8S ribosomal RNA", at positions 22 to 154 of the family's 154-position model. Lineage: Eukaryota; Fungi. The record is from RNAcentral.
UGGUUCUCGCAUCGAUGAAGAACGCAGCGAAACGCGAUAGGUAAUGUGAAUUGCAGAAUUCAGUGAAUCAUCGAAUCUUUGAACGCACAUUGCGCCUUUUGGUAUUCCGAGAGGUACGUCUGUUUGAGCGUCAGUACGCACCUCUGCACCCGGCUUUGCUGUCCGGGCUGCAGGUCAUGGGGAUGGUCACCGGCCUCCUCUAAUGCGCACGCUUGCGGGCUUCCACAGAAUGUCAACGUAGUAAACUAAACGCUCGAUGAUUGACUGGGGACGGCACGCCUGAUCUCAAAUCUUUAAGGUUUGACCUCAGAUCAGACGAGGAUACCCGCUGA